Molecule: ribosomal RNA, 497 nt
Filed under: uncultured bacterium
Lineage: Bacteria
Description: partial 16S ribosomal RNA
Rfam family: Bacterial small subunit ribosomal RNA
Source: RNAcentral
GAUGAACGCUGGCGGCGUGCCUAAUACAUGCAAGUCGAGCGAACAGAUGAGGAGCUUGCUCCUCUGACGUUAGCGGCGGACGGGUGAGUAACACGUGGAUAACCUACCUAUAAGACUGGGAUAACUUCGGGAAACCGGAGCUAAUACCGGAUAAUAUAUUGAACCGCAUGGUUCAAUAGUGAAAGACGGUUUUGCUGUCACUUAUAGAUGGAUCCGCGCCGCAUUAGCUAGUUGGUAAGGUAACGGCUUACCAAGGCGACGAUGCGUAGCCGACCUGAGAGGGUGAUCGGCCACACUGGAACUGAGACACGGUCCAGACUCCUACGGGAGGCAGCAGUAGGGAAUCUUCCGCAAUGGGCGAAAGCCUGACGGAGCAACGCCGCGUGAGUGAUGAAGGUCUUCGGAUCGUAAAACUCUGUUAUUAAGGAAGAACAAAUGUGUAAGUAACUAUGCACGUCUUGACGGUACCUAAUCAGAAAGCCACGGCUAACUACGUG